AUACGGAGGGUGCGAGCGUUAAUCGGAAUUACUGGGCGUAAAGCGUACGUAGGCGGUUGGUUAAGUUAGAUGUGAAAGCCCCGGGCUUAACCUGGGAACUGCAUUUAAAACUGGCGAACUUGAGUUGAGUAGAGGGGAGUGGAAUUUCAGGUGUAGCGGUGAAAUGCGUAGAGAUCUGAAGGAACACCAGUGGCGAAGGCGACUCCCUGGACUCGAACUGACGCUGAGGUACGAAAGCGUGGGUAGCAAACGGGAUUAGAAACCCUAGUAGUCC
Molecule: ribosomal RNA, 274 nt
Filed under: uncultured bacterium
Lineage: Bacteria
Description: partial 16S ribosomal RNA
Rfam family: Bacterial small subunit ribosomal RNA
Source: RNAcentral